AGAGUUUGAUCCUGGCUCAGAGUGAACGCUGGCGGCAUGCCCUAACACAUGCAAGUCGAACGGUAACAGGCCCGCAAGGGUGCUGACGAGUGGCGGACGGGUGAGGAAUACAUCGGAAUUGCCCUGUCGUGGGGGAUAACGUAGGGAAACUUACGCCUAAUACCGCAUACGACCUAACGGUGAAAGCGGGGGANCGCAAGACUCCCGCCGGCUGGAUAGCCGAUGUAGAUNGCUGUUGGCGGGUAAGGCCACAAGCAGAUCGUGCUGGUCGAGAGAUAUAGCCACACUGGACUGAGACACGCCCAGACUCCUACCGGAGGCAGCAGUGGGGGAGUAUUGGGACAAAUGGGGGGCCAACCCUGAAAUUCAGCCAACGGCCGGCGUGUGGUGAAGAAGGGCCCUCGGGGGUGAUAAGCACUUUUAGUCUGGAGCAAAC
Molecule: ribosomal RNA, 436 nt
Filed under: uncultured bacterium
Lineage: Bacteria
Description: bacterial SSU rRNA
Rfam family: Bacterial small subunit ribosomal RNA
Source: RNAcentral